GUACUUACCUGGAUGGGGUCAAUGGAUGAUCAAAAUGGCCCAUGGCCUAGGUUAGUGAUCUCCAUUGCACUUAGGAGGGGUGCUAUCCUAAGGUCGGCCCAAGUGGUCGAACCUACAUCAUAAUUUGUGGUAGUGGAGGCAUGCGUUCGCGCAGCCUCUGC
Small nuclear RNA from Cynara cardunculus var. scolymus (artichoke), 161 nucleotides. RefSeq annotates it as U1 spliceosomal RNA. The transcript has a single exon. Lineage: Eukaryota; Viridiplantae; Streptophyta; Magnoliopsida; Asterales; Asteraceae. The record is from RefSeq and is a predicted model, not a curated record.